RNAcentral lists this ribosomal RNA (2285 nucleotides) under marine metagenome. Its description in RNAcentral is "bacterial LSU rRNA". It matches the Rfam family "Archaeal large subunit ribosomal RNA", at positions 15 to 2356 of the family's 2987-position model. The record is from RNAcentral.
ACGCCACCUGGUGGAUGACUAGGCUCGGUUGCCGAAGACGGUCGUGCCAAGCAGCGAUAUGCUUCGGGGAGGCGCAUGGAGCCUUUGAUCCGAAGAUUGCCGAAUGGGACUUCCCAAACUCUAGUAGUUUAAUCCGAAAGGAUGGGGAACGCUCCGAAUUGAAACAUCUUAGUAGGAGCAGGAAAAGAAAUCAAAUGAGAUGAGGUUAGUAAAGGCGAUCGAACACCUCAUAGAGCAAUCCGAAUCUUCUGAUGAAAAUCAGUAGAAAUGUGGAGUGGCCUGUUUACAUCUUAACACUAUUAUCCGAAUUUCGUGUGGAACACCGGCGCCAAAGAGGGUGAUAGCCCCGUAGGAGACGCAGUGAAAGAUGAUUUUCAGGACCCAAGAGUAGCGUGCAUUGGAUAUUGCGCGUGAAUAUGGGAGGUACUAACUUCCAACUCUAAAUACAAACCGAGACCGACAGCGCAAUAGUAGCGUGAGCGAAAGUUGUAAAGUAUCCCUGACGGGAGAUUAAUAAGAUCCUGAAAUCAGGUGGUAACAGACUGGUAUGGCAUGCAAGGGAUUAAGCGGUUACACCGCCGCACCGAUGUCAUACCGUUCGAUUCGAAAAUUGAUCCGUGGAGUUUCUAUCAUUGGCGAGGUUAAGUGCGUAAGUACGAAGCCGUAGGGAAACCGAUAGCCCGCAGCGCAAGCGAGGGGCAAGGUGUGCUCGCCUGGAGUCAAUGGUUGGAUACCCGAAGCCGGUCGAUCUAUGCCUGGGCAGGGUGAAGCCUUUCGGAAGAAGGGUGGAGGCCCGAACCAGUACUGAUGUGCAAAUCGUUUGGAUGACCUGGGUAUAGGGGCGAAAGACCAAUCUAGACCGGCAAUUGCUGGUUCCUCUCGAAACUGCUCGCAGGCAGACCUCAGCAGAGACGGGGCAUGCGGUAGAGCACUGAUUGCGUGUUUAGGAAGCGAAAGUUUUCGGCAUGCUGUCAAACUCCGAAUGUGUGUCCGUUGUAGAAGCUGGGCAGUGAGGGCAUCGGGGUAAGCUUGAUGUCCAUAAGGAAAACAAACCAGACCAAAGUUAAGGUCCCUAAGUAAUAGCUAAGUGUUAAAGAACAAAUAGUGUUUAACAGCAUAGACAGCUGGAAGGUUGGCUUAGAGGCAGCCAUCCUUUAAAGAGUUCGUAACAGAUCACCAGUCAAGUUCUUGAGCCUAGAAAAUGGACGGGACUAAGUUGUUCACCGAUACUUUGGGCCACCGAAAGGUGAUGCGGUAGAGAGGCGUCGUGCGCGGGUGGAAGUGGGGCCGAGAGGUCCUGUGGACCGCGUUCGAAUGAUAAUCAUGGAAAGAGUAGUAGCGUAGAUGGGUGAGAAUCCCAUCCGCCGGAGGGGCUAGGGUUCCUCGACGAUGUUCAUCAGUCGAGGGUUAGUCGGUCCUAAGGUUCCCCCUAACAGGAGGAAUCGAAAGGGAAGCAGGUUAAAAUUCCUGCACCAAUUCAUAUUUUGUCCAGUUCCUGACACAUCGGGUCGUGUGGAGCACUCUUGUCGGAGUGUUGCCUUGAGCAAUAAAUUUGUGGAGUACCGUAAUGGUGAGAAGCAAACUAAGCUCUCGGGAGGCGGAGUAUUUCGCUUCUGCGUUAGCCUGGUGUCCGUGAAAAGGGAGCUGGAGCCGUAUGAGUUGUCCGUACCGAGAUCUGACACAGGUGCCCCUAGGUGAGUAGCCUAAGGCGUCGCGGCAGAAUCCGGGCGAGGGAAUUCGGCAAAUUAGCCCCGUACCUUUGGUAUAAGGGGUGCCAGCUCUGAAGAGAGCUGGUCGCAGUGACUAGGGAGCUCCGACUGUUUAUUAAAAACACAGGUGGCUGCUAGUCCGUAAGGAUGUGUAUAGCCGCUGAAUCCUGCCCAGUGGCAGUAUCUGAAACCAGGUUUCAACCUGACGAAGGACUGCUAAACGGCGGGGGUAACUAUGACCCUCUUAAGGUAGCGUAAUACCUUGUCGCUUAAUUGGCGACUUGCACGAACGGCCUAACGAGAGCUCUACUGUCCCCGCCCGGAGCCCGAUGAAAUUGACUUACUGGCGCACAGUCCAGUACGUCCCAGCCGCAAGCGAAGACCCCGUGGAGCUUUACUGCAACCUGCCGUUGUGGCACGAGUUGUUAUGUGUAGCGUAGACGGGAGACAUUACACAGGUGCGAGCGCUAGCUCGUCGCCGAGUCACCGAUGAAACACCGUCCUUUUCGAUUCGUCCCACUCACCUCUUAGGAGGAACCCCGGUAGGCGGGCAGUUUGGGUGGGGCGCCACUCCCU